GACGAACGCUGGCGGCGUGCUUAACACAUGCAAGUCGAACGGAAAGGCCCCUUUGGGGGUACUCGAGUGGCGAAAGGGUGAGUAACACGUGAGUAACCUGCCCUUGACUUCGGGAUAACUUCAGGAAAAUGGGGCUAAUACCGGAUAGGAAUCCUUGCUGCAUGGUGGGGGUUGGAAAGCUGCGGCGGUUUUGGAUGGACUCGCGGCUUAUCAGCUUGUUGGUGGGGUAGUGGCUUACCAAGGCUUUGACGGGUAGCCGGCCUUGGAGGGCGACCGGCCACAUUGAGACUGAGAUUCGGCCCAGACUCCUACGAGUGGCAGCGGUAGCAAAGAUUGCUCAAUGGGCAGAAGCCUGAUGCAGCACCGCCGCGGGCGGGAUGACGGCCUUCGGGUUGUAAUCCGCUUUCAGCUGUAGCGAAGCUUGUGGUGACGGUACCUGCAGAAUAAGCACCGGCUAACUACGUG
RNAcentral lists this ribosomal RNA (465 nucleotides) under uncultured bacterium. RNAcentral describes it as "partial 16S ribosomal RNA". It matches the Rfam family "Bacterial small subunit ribosomal RNA", at positions 28 to 507 of the family's 1533-position model. The record is from RNAcentral.